RNAcentral lists this small nuclear RNA (99 nucleotides) under Bison bison bison. Lineage: Eukaryota; Metazoa; Chordata; Mammalia; Artiodactyla; Bovidae. The record is from RNAcentral.
GUUCUCAUUUUGUUAGCACAUAAACUAAAAUUGGAUCAAUACAGAGCUUAGAAUGAUGCCUGCUCAAUGUUGACAUGCAGGGAAGAAUUCUGUAUUUUG